This 1363-nucleotide ribosomal RNA is filed under the name uncultured bacterium. RNAcentral's name for it is "bacterial SSU rRNA". It matches the Rfam family "Bacterial small subunit ribosomal RNA", at positions 28 to 1387 of the family's 1533-position model. The record is from RNAcentral.
GAUGAACGCUGGCGGCGUGCCUAACACAUGCAAGUCGAGCGAAGCGCUGUUUUCAGAAUCUUCGGAGGAAGAGGACAGUGACUGAGCGGCGGACGGGUGAGUAACGCGUGGGCAACCUGCCUCAUACAGGGGGAUAACAGUUAGAAAUGACUGCUAAUACCGCAUAAGCGCACAGGACCGCAUGGUGUAGUGUGAAAAACUCCGGUGGUAUGAGAUGGACCCGCGUCUGAUUAGGUAGUUGGUGGGGUAAAGGCCUACCAAGCCGACGAUCAGUAGCCGACCUGAGAGGGUGACCGGCCACAUUGGGACUGAGACACGGCCCAAACUCCUACGGGAGGCAGCAGUGGGGAAUAUUGCACAAUGGGGGAAACCCUGAUGCAGCGACGCCGCGUGAAGGAAGAAGUAUUUCGGUAUGUAAACUUCUAUCAGCAGGGAAGAAGAUGACGGUACCUGAGUAAGAAGCACCGGCUAAAUACGUGCCAGCAGCCGCGGUAAUACGUAUGGUGCAAGCGUUAUCCGGAUUUACUGGGUGUAAAGGGAGCGUAGACGGAUAGGCAAGUCUGGAGUGAAAACCCAGGGCUCAACCCUGGGACUGCUUUGGAAACUGCAGAUCUGGAGUGCCGGAGAGGUAAGCGGAAUUCCUAGUGUAGCGGUGAAAUGCGUAGAUAUUAGGAGGAACACCAGUGGCGAAGGCGGCUUACUGGACGGUGACUGACGUUGAGGCUCGAAAGCGUGGGGAGCAAACAGGAUUAGAUACCCUGGUAGUCCACGCCGUAAACGAUGACUAAAAGGUGUCGGUGUGCAAAACACAUCGGGUCCGCCAGCAAACGCAAUAAGUAGUCCACCCCGGGGGGUACGUUCGCCAAGAAAGAAACUCAAAAGAAAUGACGGGGGGACCCGCACAAGCGGUGGAGCAUGUGGUUUAAUUUGAAGCAACGCGAAGAACCUUACCUGGUCUUGACAUCCGGAUGACGGGCGAGUAAUGUCGCUGUCCCUUCGGGGCAUCCGAGACAGGUGGUGCAUGGUUGUCGUCAGCUCGUGUCGUGAGAUGUUGGGUUAAGUCCCGCAACGAGCGCAACCCUUAUCUUCAGUAGCCAGCAUAUAAGGUGGGCACUCUGGAGAGACUGCCAGGGAGAACCUGGAGGAAGGUGGGGAUGACGUCAAAUCAUCAUGCCCCUUAUGGCCAGGGCUACACACGUGCUACAAUGGCGUAAACAAAGGGAAGCGAGAGGGUGACCUGAAGCGAAUCCCAAAAAUAACGUCUCAGUUCGGAUUGUAGUCUGCAACUCGACUACAUGAAGCUGGAAUCGCUAGUAAUCGCGGAUCAGCAUGCCGCGGUGAAUACGUUCCCGGGUCUUGCACA